CCUACGGGAGGCAGCAGUGGGGAAUAUUGGGCAAUGGGCGCAAGCCUGACCCAGCAACGCCGCGUGAAGGAAGAAGGCUUUCGGGUUUUAAACUUCUUUUCUUAGGGACGAAGCAAGUUACGGUACCUGAGGUAUAAGCCUCGGCUAACUACGUGCCAGCAGCAGCGGUAAUACGGCGGUGGCAAGCGUUAUCCGGAUUUACUGGUUGUAAAGGGAGUGUAGGCGGGAAAGCAAGUCAGAUGUGAAAACCAUGGGCUCAACCUGUGGCCUGCAUUUGAAACUGUUUUUCUUGAGUACUGGGGAGGCAGACGGAAUGCCUAGUGUAGCGGUGAAAUGCGUAGAUAUUAGGAGGAACACCGGUGGCGAAGGCAGUCUGCUGGACAGCAACUGACGCUGAGGCGCGAAAGCGUGGGGAGCAAACAGGAUUAGAUACCCUAGUAGUC
This 443-nucleotide ribosomal RNA is filed under the name uncultured bacterium. Its description in RNAcentral is "partial 16S ribosomal RNA". It matches the Rfam family "Bacterial small subunit ribosomal RNA", at positions 338 to 795 of the family's 1533-position model. The record is from RNAcentral.